GAUGAAGAACGUAGCGAAAUGCGAUAAGUAAUGUGAAUUGCAGAAUUCAGUGAAUCAUCGAAUCUUUGAACGCACAUUGCGCCCCAUGGUAUUCCGGGGGGCAUGCCUGUCCGAGCGUCAUUGCUGCCCUCAAGCACGGCUUGUGUGUUGGGCCUCCGUCCUCCUCCCGGGGGACGGGCCCGAAAGGCAGCGGCGGCACCGCGUCCGGUCCUCGAGCGUAUGGGGCUUCGUCACCCGCUCUUGUAGGCCCGGCCGGCGCUUGCCGACACAUCAAUCUUUUUUCCAGGUUGACCUCGGAUCAGGUAGGGAUACCCGCUGAACUUAAGCAUAUCAAUAAGCGGAGGA
This 345-nucleotide unclassified non-coding RNA is filed under the name soil metagenome. RNAcentral's name for it is "partial contains 5.8S ribosomal RNA, internal transcribed spacer 2, and large subunit ribosomal RNA". The stretch from base 1 to 120 matches the Rfam family "5.8S ribosomal RNA", at positions 35 to 154 of the family's 154-position model. The record is from RNAcentral.